CCUAAGCAUAUCAUGCCUUCCCACAUUAAUGACUAACUCUGAACUCUUACUAUAGCUUCACUAGCGCAUAUUACGUCCCUUCACUAAAAUCCCAACAUGUCAUUCAAGCCUAUCUUUAUAACCUCAUAUGAACUUCAAGGCAAACACCCAUGAAGAAACACUUCACAUAUUCUCUAAACCACUAUUAAUAUAACUCCCACACGCUACCCCAAGAACAUACACACACAAAUUUUCACUAAAAAUCACAUAUAUCAAAAACUUGGCCCCAAUCUUACUUCACACUUAUGGUCUUAUCUAAAACAAGCAUACUAUAAAGCGUGAGUACAUGAGUCAUGAGCUACAUGACCUCAAUUUGGAGUUCAUAACUUAUGGAAUGGGAUUCCGACUACUGAAUGAACUGAAACUUCAUAUUUUGGAACUUGAAGAGUGCAUGAUUCUCUAUCAUAAGCAUGAACAUGAAUUUUGAUCAUUGGACUAAAACGUAAGGCAUGAGUAGAUAUUGGGAUAACUGGAAAAAAAAAUACUGAGAUAAGAAUGGGUUGGGUCUCACCCUCACUUUCUGACGUUCUAUAUCAUCAUGACAUCACGACUAGAAUCUGAAAGCCUGACUUGGUUAUUCGCUCUAUCAUCUCCCCCUUAGCUUCAAGCCAUCAUAUUAAGUUUGGGAGAUCCCUUACUAGACUCUAAACUGAAGUACACUCACUGCACUCUGGGGUCUGAAAAACUACGAUACACGCAUAUCAUGGCACUUAACCCGAAUGACUACACCUGAAAGUGGAAAACCCACUGUUAAUAGAGAUACACUUUAUCAUUCUAUCGACCCAGCAGUCAUCAUAUAAUACUUGCACACUUACUAACUUCGGGUCUUCAUGAGUAUCCCCAUAGUCGGAGUGCACACCCUCUAGUGCUUUAACUCUUAUUUCUAUUAGUUCAACCUUCAAAAACUCAAACUUAGAAUCUAGCACUCAACAUGGAUAUUACCAUGCCUUCAAUGAAUCAUACUACUUCCGACAAAGCCUAUCAAUAUCGCGACUCCAAACUUAUAUCUCUCUACUAUGAGAAUCAAGAUCAUAUAAAAAGGCUCAACACUAUCAAUCAAAACUCCUUAACUUGACUAUUUAGAACACCAUAUACCAUCUAAAUAGUCUUUAUCCACCUAGCAACUCAACGGUACCACUCGUCACACAAAACGUGUAAUAGUCUUAGAAAAUACCGCAACCUCAGAUCACCUUGGGCAUACUUCUUCACUACGAAUCAAAUAAACUUAGGCUCUUUCAUAUACCAUUCAAGCCUAUUAGAUUACUUCCAUAAAACUAGUAUCAUUAACCAAGAAAUCAUCACAUCCACCUUCA
Molecule: long non-coding RNA, 1352 nt
Filed under: Capsicum annuum
Lineage: Eukaryota; Viridiplantae; Streptophyta; Magnoliopsida; Solanales; Solanaceae
Description: long non-coding RNA (CANN_LNC004214)
Source: RNAcentral